GUGCCAGCGGUUCGGCCGGGCACUCUAACGGGACUGCCCGCGAAAGCGGGAGGAAGGAGGGGACGACGUCUGGUCAGCAUGGCCCUUACGGCCUGGGCGACACACGUGCUACAAUGCCCACUACAAAGCGAUGCCACCCGGCAACGGGGAGCUAAUCGCAAAAAGGUGGGCCCAGUUCGGAUUGGGGUCUGCAACCCGACCCCAUGAAGCCGGAAUCGCUAGUAAUCGCGGAUCAGCCAUGCCGCGGUGAAUACGUUCCCGGGCCUU
RNAcentral lists this ribosomal RNA (267 nucleotides) under uncultured Thermus sp. RNAcentral describes it as "partial 16S ribosomal RNA". It matches the Rfam family "Bacterial small subunit ribosomal RNA", at positions 1115 to 1382 of the family's 1533-position model. The record is from RNAcentral. Lineage: Bacteria; Thermotogati; Deinococcota; Deinococci; Thermales; Thermaceae.